GGCGCUCCGUGCAUCUCGGGGCCGGGCGCCACCGCCGAGGCUCUCGGUGACGUUUUUCCUCGGCGCGUCCCUUCCUGCGUCUCGAUCUCGGCGACGCCGUCGGGAAGUCGAGGCGGCUCCUUUCAGGGAGGGCUCGGAUCCGCCGCCUCCGGUCCGCCUCGCGUGUGCCCGGCACUAGUCGGAUCCGGCAGCCCUUUGCCCUUCCUGGGUUCCAGCCUCGGAGGAGACAUUUUGGUUUUUUUUACUCCAUCUCUGAGAGGACAGCUGGGGACCUGGCGUUCUCGCACCCUGCAGAUGCAUCUGGUCCUCAUGUCAGCGGCACCUCGGCAGAAUAAAGCAGAACCCAAGAAAUUCAGUUCCCUGUGUAUACCUGGUUAUAUUCCCCUCUGUGUGAAAGGCUGACAGGAGUCAAGAGAUGACUGACUUCAAUUAUUUGCACACACCCAGCCAUCUAGUAUCCAAGGUACUAAAAGUUUUUUAACUAAGUACUCUUUUUAGACUACUAUUUUGAGGAAUUUUCACUUCCUCCUCUUCUCCUGGAAAUGGCAGUGAGUGACGUGGUGUAUAAAAUGAGCACAGAAAGCAGGAAGAAUUCAUAAGAAAACAACAUUUUAGCCAGGUGUGGUGAUGCACACCUGUAACAUCAGCACUAGGGAGGCUGAGGCAGGAUCACCGGCUAGUAGUGAGUUCAAGGCCAGCCUGGACUACACAUUGAAACCCUGUUUCAAAAAACAAAAACAAAACAAGAAAGAAGAAAGAAAGGUCCAGGGAUUUAGCUUAGUGGCACUGUGCCUGCCUCAGAAGUGCUAGGUCCAGAGUUCGAUCCCUAGUGCCACCCCCCCCCCCCCCCA
This 851-nucleotide long non-coding RNA is filed under the name Fukomys damarensis (Damara mole-rat). RNAcentral's name for it is "lncRNA (ENSFDAG00000027189.1)". The record is from RNAcentral. Lineage: Eukaryota; Metazoa; Chordata; Mammalia; Rodentia; Bathyergidae.